Molecule: long non-coding RNA, 188 nt
Organism: Melospiza melodia melodia
Lineage: Eukaryota; Metazoa; Chordata; Aves; Passeriformes; Passerellidae
Exons: 3
Source: RefSeq, a predicted model, not a curated record
GGAACCCUCUGGAACGAGCUCGGAUUCCCGGGAUCCCCCGGCCCAGCAGGAAUUGGGCUCUCCGUGCCCGGCCGGGCUCUUCCCGAUUUUCCUGCCCAGCAGGAGGAGGCCCCUGGAGGAGCUGCCGGCUCCCUUCGGUCCCUCUGGAAAAGCUCCCAGGAAAUCCCGGGAAUCCUCGUGGGAUCAGC